AUUGAACGCUGGCGGCAGGCUUAACACAUGCAAGUCGAGCGGGGUGAUGGUGCUUGCACUAUCACUUAGCGGCGGACGGGUGAGUAAUGCUUAGGAAUCUGCCUAGUAGUGGGGGACAACAUCUCGAAAGGGAUGAAAAUACCGCAUACGUCCUACGGAGGAAAGCAGGGGAGCACUUGUGACCUUGCGCUAAUAAAUGAGCCUAAGUCGGAUUAGUUGGUUGGUGGGGUAAAGGCCUACCAAGGCGACGAUCUGUAGCGGGUCUGAGAGGAUGAUCCGCCACACUGGGACUGAGACACGGCCCAGACUCCUACGGGAGGCAGCAGUGGGGAAUAUUGGACAAUGGGGGGAACCCUGAUCCAGCCAUGCCGCGUGUGUGAAGAAGGCCUUAUGGUUGUAAAGCACUUUAAGCGAGGAGGAGGCUCUUUUGGUUAAUACCCAAGAUGAGUGGACGUUACUCGCAGAAUAAGCACCGGCUAACUCUGUGCCAGCCGCCGCCGUAA
RNAcentral lists this ribosomal RNA (503 nucleotides) under uncultured bacterium. RNAcentral describes it as "partial 16S ribosomal RNA". It matches the Rfam family "Bacterial small subunit ribosomal RNA", at positions 30 to 523 of the family's 1533-position model. The record is from RNAcentral.